RNAcentral lists this ribosomal RNA (896 nucleotides) under Providencia huashanensis. Its description in RNAcentral is "partial 23S ribosomal RNA". It matches the Rfam family "Bacterial large subunit ribosomal RNA", at positions 657 to 1552 of the family's 2925-position model. Lineage: Bacteria; Pseudomonadati; Pseudomonadota; Gammaproteobacteria; Enterobacterales; Morganellaceae. The record is from RNAcentral.
AUAGGGGAGCCGUAGGGAAACCGAGUCUUAACUGGGCGAAUGAGUUGCAGGGUAUAGACCCGAAACCCGGUGAUCUAGCCAUGGGCAGGUUGAAGGUUGGGUAACACUAACUGGAGGACCGAACCGACUAAUGUUGAAAAAUUAGCGGAUGACUUGUGGCUGGGGGUGAAAGGCCAAUCAAACCGGGAGAUAGCUGGUUCUCCCCGAAAGCUAUUUAGGUAGCGCCUCGUGAACUCAUCUUCGGGGGUAGAGCACUGUUUCGACUAGGGGGUCAUCCCGACUUACCAACUCGAUGCAAACUACGAAUACCGAAGAAUGUUAUCACGGGAGACACACGGCGGGUGCUAACGUUCGUCGUGAAGAGGGAAACAACCCAGACCGCCAGCUAAGGUCCCAAAGUCAUAGUUAAGUGGGAAACGAAGUGGGAAGGCUCAGACAGCCAGGAUGUUGGCUUAGAAGCAGCCAUCAUUUAAAGAAAGCGUAAUAGCUCACUGGUCGAGUCGGCCUGCGCGGAAGAUGUAACGGGGCUAAACUAUGCACCGAAGCUGCGGCAGCGAUAUGUAAAUAUUGUUGGGUAGGGGAGCGUUCUGUAAGCCUGUGAAGGUGUACUGUGAGGUAUGCUGGAGGUAUCAGAAGUGCGAAUGCUGACAUAAGUAACGAUAAUGCGGGUGAAAAACCCGCACGCCGGAAGACCAAGGGUUCCUGUCCAACGUUAAUCGGGGCAGGGUGAGUCGACCCCUAAGGCGAGGCAGAAAUGCGUAGUCGAUGGGAAACGGGUUAAUAUUCCCGUACUGGUGAUAAUUGCGAUGGGGGGACGGAGAAGGCUAGGCUGGCCGGGCGACGGUUGUCCCGGUUUAAGGAUGUAGGCAGGUGAAUUAGGCAAAUCCGGUUCACUA